CCCCUGCUACAGCAACUAUCCUCUACACACAGAACCACCCCGGUGAGGGCGCUGCGUCCUCGGUCCUACUGUGAAGGUAUGGAGCUGGUGGAACUGGAGAAGAGCUGGACGGCCUAGCAACCACUGAACCGUUUAGUGGAGUCAGUCAUGAGGAAAGGUUGAACAACUGAAUCACUGAGUAAACUGAUUCACUGAGUCACUGAGUCAAUGGUAUCUCUGAAUCACUGAAUAAACUAUCACUGAAUCGCUGAGUCACUGAAUAAACUGUAUAACUGAUUCACUGAAUCACUCAGUCAAUGGUA
Molecule: long non-coding RNA, 302 nt
Organism: Oncorhynchus tshawytscha (Chinook salmon)
Lineage: Eukaryota; Metazoa; Chordata; Actinopteri; Salmoniformes; Salmonidae
Exons: 2
Source: RefSeq, a predicted model, not a curated record